Molecule: long non-coding RNA, 8221 nt
Filed under: Oryza sativa (Asian cultivated rice)
Lineage: Eukaryota; Viridiplantae; Streptophyta; Magnoliopsida; Poales; Poaceae
Description: long non-coding RNA (OSAT_LNC000508)
Source: RNAcentral
UCACGUAUUGUUGUUGGUAGACGAGUAGGCCCAGUUCUGACGUGAGGUGAAUCUUUCUCCGCGUCCCUUGGAUAAUACUUGAAGCCGUUCAACAUCAUAAUUUUAAAUUGGUAAUGGUUGCAUCAGUAGUGCUCCAUUACUUCGAUUCCCUUUAUCUGCUGUGCUUCCUCAGUUCCUCUGUUGUUCACCGGGACCGGGACCUGGUGGAGAAUGAAAGCAUGUUUAGUUCCCAACUUUUUCUUUAAACUUUUAACUUUUCUAUCACAUUAAAAUUUUUCUACACAUAUAAACUUCUAAUUUUUUCAUCACAUCGUUUCAAUUUUAAUCAAACUUUCAAUUUUAACGUGAACUAAACACCCGAAAUAAUCGUGUCUUGUUCAAAGAAAGCAGGAUGAAGCAUUAUAUUAGCUUUAGGAAAUUAAAGGCACUCAGAAUUUUGUAGUUCUAGCUAUCCUUUCAAAAGAUGAUAAUUUUGUAGCCUAAAAAAUAGUAGCGGCACCGUUCACACCUAAAUUUGUUCUUAUUUUUCUCAAUGUGUCUCAAUGUGUAGGCUGAAUUUAAAUUUGAUUGGACUGAUAAAUGUCACUAUGUUCUACAUCAUUAAUUGUUUUUAGAAAUUUUCACAACUAUUUUCAUCUGAUUUAAAAGAAAAAGAUAUACAACGGGACAGCCACUCAAUAGACUGUACGAGGGGAGAUUGAGAAAGUCCGGAAUAAAAGGUGGCAAAGGGAACCACACAUAUUGGAGAAGGCAGCAAUCAAGACUCAAGAGGGCUGGUCAAAAGAGGUGUGGAAAGGGGGCAUGUAGUCUAAGAAACGAAUAUUGAUGUGGUUGCGAAGGUAUUUCAUGAAACGUUAAUAAAGCAUCGGAAAAAUAUUUCUAAUGGAUAUAAACCAUCAUUAUAUUUUUCUUAACAAUUUUCCUUUCUUGUUGGUAAGGAGGUUUGAUUGGGAACAAGCUCGACGUAGAUAGGCUGUUUCAGAAAAUAUUUUCCCUUUUUUAAGAGAGAGAGAGAGAGAGAGAGAGGGGGGUGUUCAUAGAUGUAUGUUUUUUCUUUCCUCUGAUCGUCUGCUAGUACUAAAUUUUAAUAACUAAUUAUGCAGACAUGGUAUAAUUCAAAGCAUUUAUUAGCUUAAUCAUUUCCACUUAUUAAUUAGCAUCAGUAGCCGAUCUAUCACCAUCACCAUGACUAUUGAAUUAAUAAGGAUUCUUGAUGGAUUGGGUACACAUAGACUUUGAGAAUUAUAGACGUUUAAGGAACAUUAUGGAACAAGUGCCACAAGGCCACAUCUAGGUAUACAUGUUGGUGAUAUCUCCACUACGUGAUUAUAUGUAGCACUCUGAUUUUUUAAAUAUAAGUUAUUUAGACUUUUACAUGAGAAUUAAGGAAACAAUUCAAUAUUGCCCCCAUUUUAGACUAUAUUGAAACAAAAUACGGAGUAUGAUUAAUUUAUUUAUGAGAGGGGUAACACAUUUAUUUGAGAAAAGAAAAUACGAGAGAAAAUAUGACAAAAGUACCUAGGAUUUCAAAAAAGGGGUUACAUUUAAGAAAGAGAUGAAAAAGGCUAAAAUGGCCUACAUUUGUAAUCUGAAGGAGCAAUUCUUUCAAUUAACAAUUGACUAGUAUUAGCAUGGAAGUGAUAUUGCACUGAAAAGAGAGAGAAGAACCUUAUAGGGUCAUGGGGAUAUAGAUAAGUGCUGUAACCAACUUAUAUAUAUGAGCCUGAAAAGAACAUCUUCCACAAUUACCUGCUUAUUAUUUACUUAUUCGUUGAAGUGGUAGAUAGAGUAUGUAUAUCGGUAUAUGAACCACUCGCACCUGCAAAGUAUAUGGCACAUAAUGUUUUUUACUUCAUUACAACGUCAACUGAAACGUCUCUGAAUAAAAGAAAAGGACAACUGAAAGCUUGAGACAAUAGCAACAUUUUCAUUUAUUUUUCCAAAUCCUACCUAAUUUUGCUCGUACCGUGAUUCAAUAAAAACAAAGUGUCGAACUAAGUAAAGUGAGCCAAGUUUUAAAAUUACGGAUGAGUUUGAGGAGAAGGGGACAGAGAAGAUUUAAAAGAUACGUAAAACGAGGUGAGCCAUUACCACAUGAUUAAUUGAGUAUUAACUAUUUUAAAUUUUAAAGGAUUAAUAUGAUUUUUAAAGCAACUUUUCUAUAGAAAUUUUUUUUACAAAAAACGCACUGCUUAGUAGUUUGGGAAGCGUGCGUGCGGAAAACCACGUGUAGUUCAAUUACUGGAGGAAUAAGUUUGCAACGAUCGACAACCUAUAUAUCCCAACUGAAGAUUGCGUAGCGUAUUCUCAAAAACUUAAAACAAAACAAAAAAACCUGAAGCUUGCGUACACCUCGGACGAUGCAUACUUAUCACUCCAAUCAACCCAUAUUGUUUUAGAUAAUGGAACAGUAUAACCAAUCAAUUCACAUGCUGUGAUGCUGAUCACGAUUAUCCAAACUGAGCUACUUGUUAAUUAGAUUAAGUUACAGCAGGCUCAAUCAUGUCGCAUAUAUUAGGCCAAUAAUUUCAUCAGAAUACCUGCAAUAAGGCAGUAGAAUAAUGUGUUCCACAUCAGAGAGCAAACAAGUAAACCUUUAAUUAGUAGUAGUAUUCUGUUUCCAUGUUGAUAUACUAACACAUUGAUUGAUUCUCAAAGUCAAAUGUAGCCAAGUCCAAUCUUAUAUAUGUACUUAUCGAUGGGAGAUAAGCACAUAUAAGCUAGUCAUCUACCUACGUCCACAAGUGGAGAAGAAAAACACGCGAAGCUGCACUAUUCCAAAUACUCACACCGAUUUUUAGUGUUUAACGCCAAUAAAUUUUAAACAUAUGUUUGCCUAUUUAUCUUAUUAAAAAAAUAUAUAUGCAAAAAUGUAAUCAUGUUUAAAUGACCUUAAAUAAAAAAAAGUUGACUUAUGCUUUUGAAAAUGCCAUGAGCUUUUUCAUUAGUUUUACUAUCAUGCAUGAACUCUUUAGUUUUAGGUAUCCUAAAAUUUAUUAAUUCGUAAAUUUCGAAUUAAUAAAUAUAAAGAAUAUGUGCUCAUGCAUUCCGAGCUUUUAAUUUAGUAUUUUGUUAAUUUAAUUUCUAAUUUCGAAAUUAAUAAUUAGCCAAUUGAAGUGGACUCCUUUUCUUUAUCUAAGCCGCUAUUUAGAAAACAACCAAUGCAUUUAACAUAUAAUUAAAACUUUAAUAUUUAUACUAUUUCAUCCAUUUUAAAUUACUUAUCGUUUUAGUUUUGUCCUAACUCAAACAUUUGUGUAUUUUUCAAUCAAUUUCUGAAAAUUUAUAUAGUUUAAUUUCAUAUGAUUUUUGUUUCUAGAUUCAUCUUGAAAAAUACUUUCGUGAUAUAUAACUCAAAUGUUAUUAAAAUAUACGAUUUUUUAAGAAACUAAUGGUAAAAGAUAACAUAUUUAAUUUAGGAUAAAGUUAAACUGAUAAGUAAUUUAAAAUAGAGAAACUCAAAGGAUCGAUAAACGGAGAGAGAGAAAAAAGGCUCGAAGCUAACAAGCUAGCGUCAUGCUUAUCUGACAAGUUCUUUGAAAAAUCCUACAGUACUUUGAGGAGGUACAUGGUUAUCUCAAGUACUUCAUCCUUCGCGAAAUAUACUCCCUUUGAUUAAAAAGACUUUAUUUUUUGUUAUCUCACACAUACCAAUAAAAAAACUAAAAUGCUCUUCACUUUUUUAAACUCCGAUAUAUUUGUCCAGCACAUUUUUAAACUCUAAUGCAUUUGUCUGCUAUUUUCUCAAACUCCAAUACAUUGAUUCUCUUAAAGAUAAAGUCUUCGUGGAGCAAAUAACUCCUAUACAAACUUAUCCAUCACAUUUUUAAACUUUAAUGCAUUUGUCCAUCAUUUUCUCAAGCUCCAAAUACAUUGAUUCUUUGAAAUAUGAUGUCAAAUAAAAUAGAGUAACAAUUUUUAGCCCUUGAAAUGGCUAUUAAGUACAAGUGUAAAAGACUUGUUUUUCUACUUGGUGGGUUCCGUGCAGAGCUAGGCUAGUUGGGAUAACAAUGAAGCCAGAGGGUAGUACGAGUGUAUGAGUAGUUUGCUGAUAGAAAUCAUCUUUCGAAGAUUGUUAUAUUUGAGAUACCAUUUGAACUCUAGAAGCAUGCUAUAUCCCAAAAUAUAAAAAGUAUUAGGGUUAAACACAUGUAUUAAGAAAAUAGGUAAAACUAAAUGAGAAAAUGUUGUGUUUAGUUAAAACAGGAAAUAAAUGGAUACAUUAAAAGUUAGAAGGUUGUCAUUGGGUGAAAACAAAAUGUAUGUGGAGAAGUUGUCAUAAUAAGAGAUAAAUUUUGAAUGCUAUAACUUCUAUAUUUUGGGAUAGAGGAAUCACCGAACUUUACAAUAAAAAAGUGAGCACAUACCAUAAAAUCACUUAAAUUCUUUGCAUACGGCAUGCUGUUAGCUACCACCUCCGUUCCAAAAUAUUAUAACAUCUGUCCAAAUUCGUUGUCUUAAAAUUGAUCAAAUUUUAUCCUAAAUCGUAAUAUUUUGGGAUAGAGGAAACAAUAGGCAUAAAGAAAGCUCUGACUCUAUGUAUUGUCAACAUUGGAACAUUAAAAACAAAAGGACAACAAUGUGCGUAUGCACAAGUGUCGCGAAAUGACGUUAAAAGUGCUCGUUGGCCAGCUGGAAAUUGACCAAGUAAAUUUGCUGUUGCGAGCCGGGUGUUCGUUUCAUUUCUGAAGCAACUCUUGAAAGUUCAACAAUGGGGAUCGCCACCUGUAUACUCGUCAUCAUCAGCUGGCUAGCCAUAAUUAAAAAAGACAAGGAAAGAGUCGUUGACUCGGAGGAUGUACACGUUUGCACCUACGUGGAAGCUAUUUUCCAACAAGAUAUAUUUGGAUCAUCAGAUCAGCGUGCGGUAGCUAGAGCUGGUGAGUGGUGACUAGCCAGGUCAUUGUCUCCUAUUCGAGUUCUCUUUUUUUUUUGUUGGCCUUGCAGUGGUUAGUUCGGUGCUAGUAUUCUCCCGGUUUAUGCAUUGGUAUUAUCGGUGUGUGGGUGAUGGUUGUUUUUCUUCGUUUUUCUGGUUAAUUAUGACCUCCUAGUAUUGUAAUCUUAUAUUUUUUUUCUCUAUCGAGUCGUUAAAAAAAUAAGUACUGGCCCUAUGCAGUUGUGCUAGUUGUAGUUUAUGUUGAAACAAAAACGGAGUUUGGUGCUAUGCAGAUGUGCUAGUUGUAGCUUCUGUCAAACCAAAAACGGUUUAUCUAUUAUCUUAGAAGAAAAAAAAUGACAGUCUUUCCCUAUAGCUUAAAUAUUUUGGGCUGAACUAAACUACGGCAUCAAGUUAAUUAAAGGCGUCGAAUUCAAAUAUCUUAACUGACACGCAAUUAAAUAAAAAAAAUCGUUGCUCACUUUUAUUACUCGUUUGGAUUAGCUCAUACACAAUAUAUUAUAGAGAAAAUCCCUUCCGUGCCUCUGAAAACUCGCCCAAUACCUUCCAUACCCUUGAAUUUUACUAGAUCUCCUAUGUACCUUCGUAUUUUCGCUUUAAUCCCUUCCAUAACCCUCACGUUUGGUUUCCGUUAGAUCUGUGACUUAAUCCGUGUGUUACAUUGUAAGUAUUAUUUAAAAAAACCAAGAUACCCCUACCAACCCUAGCUAAACAAAUCCAAUCCUUCUCUUAUCCCAUAUCCUCUCCACGCGAGCAGCAUCCGCGCGCCGCCGGCCACCGCCCUCCCGUCGCACGAGCCACCGUCCAAGGCAUCCCGCCGUGGGCGCCACCAGACAUCGCCUUCCCAUCGUGCAAGCCAAAACCGUCCUCCCUUCGCAGGGGCACGACCCAGCAUCGCCUAGCUAAUUUGGUUUGUCUAUUGCAGCAUUGUGUAUGGAAUGAAAAGUUAGUUUGGUUCCUGCACUAUUGGGUAUGUAAAUGAAAUUGUGGUGUGUGCAUGAUAUGAACUGUUAUGUAGGACUAUGGAAAUGAAAUUGAUAUGAAGUGCUCUGUAUGGAUGCUAUUAUUUUGUAUGAUGCUCCUGAUGCUCUUAUUGAUCCAGGUGUAUUUUGUUUCACAAAUUUCUGUAUGGAUGCUCUUCUCAUUUCCUUCCUAUCAAUUGGUGCUAUUAAUGGUCCUGAUAUUUUUGUUUGGAUGCUCCUGAUGAUUUGCAAUGGAUUUUCUCCUUUGUCCACGGCAAGUUUUGCUUCAUGUUGAUUGUACCAAUUUCUUGUACAGAGGAAACUGGUGUCACUUUGAUUUUCCUAAUCCUAUUAUUUUUUUUCAAAAAAAAGUUCAAUGUAUUGCAUUUUUUCAAUACUACAAUAAUUUUUUUAUACUCCUUAUUUAGUUUCAUAAAAUACACAUAUUGUGCAAUCAACAUUUUUUCAAUUGUUUUCCAAUCUACCUGCUGCUCCUCCAUCUAUAAGGGUAAUAAUACAUUUGCAACCACAUAUAAUUGGAAAAUGAAGGAAACCUAACGGGAGAGGCAUGAAAGGGAUCAAAGCAUAAUUCAAGGGCACAAAGGCGAUCGAGUAAAAUUCUGUGAUAUGGAAGGGAUUGAUCGAGUAUUAUUAUUGUCGUGCAUAAUCCGGGUCACUGAAUUCCGAUCUAAAGGCUAUGAGAGAUUGAUCAAAUGGCUAUGAGACGCUCAUGAUGUGCACUACAAAAUUUUCCACGGACAAUUUAAAAAUUGCCUUUUAAAUCUGGAGUUCCAUAUUCUAGAAACACUUUUAAAGGUAUUUUAAAUAUCGUCUAGAAUAUUUUUACCUUAGAGAUAGUUUUAGCAUAUUUUAAAGAUAUUUUCUAAGUUUAUCUUGGAGAGACAUUUGUAGGUGCUCUAUGAUUUGUCACAUAUGUAAAGGUAUUUUAACCUCUCUAGACUUUUUAGGAGGCUAAUUAAUCUGCAGUAAGUGAUCCAAUUUAAUUUACACGAAGACUCUAUAAUUUAGUGCCAUGAAUAGAACUGAUAAUAUAUUCAAUAAAGCAAUCAAAAUUGACUUGUCUAUCCUUGCAGUAGCUACCAAAUUAAAAGAUAUCGUUUGAAAUGAAAAAGAAAUUAAGGAUAUAAAAGCAUAAGAUGGAUAAUAACAUGCCAUACAUGAAUCACACGUGAAUAAGUGGAGGUAGACAUUAAAGUGUCUACAUGAAAAAAAAAAAGAUCAAAAUUUUUUUUGGAGUAUGGGAGAGAGGCUGUCUUGGUACUAUUUUAGGGAAAAUACCAUGAGGCUUGAGUAAAUGUAUGUUUUCCUCCCCAAAUAAAUACUAUAUGAAAGGGAAGAUGAAUACCCAAAUAUAUUUUUAUAUUCAACACUUUGUUACAGAAUGACACAAAGAUUUUUUUUUUACAGUAGGAAUUAAUUAAAUCCAACAAUAUUUCUUUACUUUCCCUUUAUUCCACAGAUAAGGUAUAUAUGUUAGACAUUCACCAGAUGAUGAAAUCUCUAGAUCAAGAGGAUAGUCAAUCAGGUUAUUUAGAGCAGUCUGGUGAAGUGGGUAUUUGAGCAAUGGCUCAGGGUCGCAAGGAGCACGAAGGAACAAGAAGUAUAUGUCAAAUUAAGGCUUUAUAUUUUAUUUUCGUGAUGACAAAGAAGACGGAGUACGCCCAUAGUUGUAAUUGCACACAAUUAAUUAGCACAUGCCUAAAUAGAUUAGCAAUGUUAGAGCACCCGCAAUGGUAAAGUAAGGUGCUAUAUAAAAUAUGUACAUCUCAGCAAUAGAUUAGAUUAAUAGUAAAUCACUUUAAUGGUAUGUCUACAUGGGUAUCUAUAGCUCUCUAAUCCAUUGCCUCGUUUUUCUCUAUAGACUAUCUCCAGGUUAGUAGAUAGCUUUACUCUAUCUCUUCAUUUAAUCUCUUCCAAGUAGGAAAAUAUGUUGAUAUGGAUCUCUUAUAGAGAGUCUAUAGAUAACUAUUGUGGGUGCCCUUAGAGAUAUAUCACUGCAAACCUCACAAAGUUCUCGUUAUAUUCAUACACUCAUAACUUUCAUAAAUGCGUGUUAAAUUAACAGUCGCACCUUUGUAAUGGGGCUUCUUCCCCUAGCAGCGGAGUGGAUCAUUACCUUCAAAUCUGAUUUUGCUUCCUUGAUCCGCGGAUGGUGAAGUUCCCAACCUCAUAGUAUUCUUCCCAAGAUCGAUCUCAUUGUAGAGUGCAUGGAGAUGUUGCUUAUCAACUUCUUAUGGAGAGCAAAAUGUAGAUCACAAAGGUAGCAUAGCUUGCUAAUUAAGCAGUAAGCACAUGGAGCACGGGUUGGUGUGGAUAUCACAAGCUUCGUUUGCGUUUCGAA